Athene cunicularia (burrowing owl) is the source of this 450-nucleotide long non-coding RNA. RefSeq lists it as uncharacterized. Lineage: Eukaryota; Metazoa; Chordata; Aves; Strigiformes; Strigidae. The transcript has 3 exons. The record is from RefSeq and is a predicted model, not a curated record.
CGUAGCUCAUACUCUAAGCCUCUGUGUGAAUCCAAUCCAGAGGGAGCAUUUUGGGAGCAUUUCCUGUCUUUUGAACAGAAUGGAAGCCCUGAUUAAAUGGAAAGAGAUAUGUAGACACUCCCUCUACUGCGCCCAUUGUGGCCCAAUAGGAGGAAACAGAUUUGCCAUCAGUUUAAUAGCUCAAGGUACUCCUAUGGCAAGUCUGCAUUCUUGAUCAUUGCAACAUUCUUGUUCAUCCAGCAAGCUCCAGGUCUUUCCCUGCCAAUGCCUUGGGCCUUGUUCUCUGCUGCUGCUUUUCCGCAGACUCACAGCAUCACCUGGAACCUGCUGAGAGUGCCACCAAGAGAGGCAGCAGUGAGAACCCACUGGUUCACUCAGCGUUGCCUUUCUUUGAGUAAUACACCUUCAGGCCAGUGCCUUGUUUUGAUGUAUUACAAUGAUAGACUGAAG